This 492-nucleotide ribosomal RNA is filed under the name uncultured bacterium. RNAcentral describes it as "partial 16S ribosomal RNA". It matches the Rfam family "Bacterial small subunit ribosomal RNA", at positions 29 to 507 of the family's 1533-position model. The record is from RNAcentral.
AGUGAACGCUGGCGGUAGGCCUAACACAUGCAAGUCGAACGGCAGCACAGUAAGAGCUUGCUCUUACGGGUGGCGAGUGGCGGACGGGUGAGGAAUACAUCGGAAUCUACUUUUUCGUGGGGGAUAACGUAGGGAAACUUACGCUAAUACCGCAUACGACCUACGGGUGACAGCAGGGGAUCUUCGGACCUUGCGCGAUUGAAUGAGCCGAUGUCGGAUUAGCUAGUUGGCGGGGUAAAGGCCCACCAAGGCGACGAUCCGUAGCUGGUCUGAGAGGAUGAUCAGCCACACUGGAACUGAGAAACGGUCCAGACUCCUACGGGAGGCAGCAGUGGGGAAUAUUGGACAAUGGGCGCAAGCCUGAUCCAGCCAUACCGCGUGGGUGGAGAAGGCCUUCGGGUUGUAAAGCCCUUUUGUUGGGAAAGAAAAGCAGCAGGUUAAUACCCCGCUGUUCUGACGGUACCCAAAGAAUAAGCACCGGCUAACUUCGUG